AUGAUUCAUAUAACAAUGAUUACAAAAUUAUGAAACACAAUUCACUUACUUUUUUUGUGUACUUAUUUUCAAGUCUAUUUGUAACGCCAAUUUUUUCUUCAAAAAGUUGCUAUUUUUGUAUGGAUUAUAGCUCAAAAUGUGAAGAAAAUGAUCGCUCUGUUGAGCCAAUCAAGAUGAAAUGUGUUGAUUUUGUGGUUGGCAAAAAAGGCACACCUCGGCAGUACUAUCGGAAUCCAAAACUACUUAAUUUAACGUUUAACAGAUUUUACAUAGUUAGUUUACCAAAGAAACCAGCAAGAACAGUUUGCGUAACUGUAAAAUAUAAGCUAAAUCCUUAUUUUUUUGAACUCCCAGGUAGUAAGUUGGAGCAAAUCCAGAAAUAUGAAAACACUUCUUUUACCUUUCAAUCCUGCUUGUUUCGAGAUUACGUGGAAUUUGGUAACGCCUGUCACUAUGCGACUACCCAAAUAAUUGAUCCAGUGUUUUACCUGGACCGAAAUUGUACCGAAUGCACCACACAAGAUUGUAACGGCGGAGAUGUGAUAAGUCUUAAAAGAUUACCAUUAUUUAUGACUUUUCUACUAGUUGGAAAAAUUAUGAUACGAACAUUAAAUUUAUAUUCAAUAUAAGUAACUCAGAAAGAUUCGCUAUAAACACUUUUAAAAAUAAAUUUAAAGAAUAUCAAAUUUUUCACAGAUAUCAC
Long non-coding RNA from Zophobas morio, 703 nucleotides. RefSeq lists it as uncharacterized. NCBI's taxonomy places the organism in Eukaryota, Metazoa, Arthropoda, Insecta, Coleoptera, Tenebrionidae. The transcript is spliced from 3 exons. The record is from RefSeq and is a predicted model, not a curated record.